GACGAACGCUGGCGGCGUGCUUAACACAUGCAAGUCGAACGGUGAAGCGCCUUCCUUUUUGGUGGGUGUGGAUGAGUGGCGAACGGGUGAGUAACACGUGAGUAACCUGCCCCCUUCUUCUGGAUAACCGCAUGAAAGUGUGGCUAAUACGUGAUAUUCUGGGUCUGUCGCAUGAUGGGUCUGGGAAAGAUAUUGUUUCGGUGGGGGAUGGGCUCGCGGCCUAUCAGCUUGUUGGUGGGGUGAUGGCCUACCAAGGCGGUGACGGGUAGCCGGCCUGAGAGGGUGGACGGUCACACUGGGACUGAGACACGGCCAAGACUCCUACGGGAGGCAGCAGUGGGGAAUAUUGCACAAUGGGCGCAAGGCUGAUGCAGCGACGCCGCGUGAGGGAUGGAGGCCUGCGGGUUGUGAACCUCUUUCGCCAGUGAAGCAGGCCUGCCUCGUUUGUGGGUGGGUUGACGGUAGCUGGAUAAGAAGCGCCGGCUAACUACGUG
RNAcentral lists this ribosomal RNA (494 nucleotides) under uncultured bacterium. Its description in RNAcentral is "partial 16S ribosomal RNA". It matches the Rfam family "Bacterial small subunit ribosomal RNA", at positions 28 to 507 of the family's 1533-position model. The record is from RNAcentral.